AAUGAUAUCAUGAACUACUUACUAUUGUUCGAGCAGACAAAUGAAGCUUUAUGUGCUGUUGUCAAUGCAGAAUAACGGAGUCUUCGACAUUGCAGGAAACCCAAAUUAUUCCCCUUGUCAUUCCUCUCUUUGCAUGCCCUAGUAUAUUAGCAAUUAAUGUGCAGUCAAGGAACUGCUAACAUCUAGAAUGUGAUGGCCACAGGACUGUAUUUGACUGGGUUCUUGAUCUAUUUGUCUGUAGGGCACUGACUUUGAAGACGAGGAUGAUGAUCAAGCUGAUGAAGAUGACAGCUAAAUUUAUAAUUCAUUGUUGUCUUGUAUUUUUGGCUUCUUAGCAUGUUUCUCUGGCUCAAGUGAAGUAGCAUUUCAGUAGGGCUAGAAUGUG
This 385-nucleotide long non-coding RNA is filed under the name Phoenix dactylifera (date palm). RNAcentral's name for it is "long non-coding RNA (PDAC_LNC020671)". Lineage: Eukaryota; Viridiplantae; Streptophyta; Magnoliopsida; Arecales; Arecaceae. The record is from RNAcentral.